CUCUGUGUGUGGAGUAAAGGUGGUCUAGGAUUUUUCUUUCUGUGGAUGCACAUUUGACAUGCUGGUAAAAAUUUGGUAAAACUGAUUUAUGUUUGCCUGCAUUAAAGUCCCCGGCCACUAGGAGUGCCACUUCUGGGUGAGCAUUUUCUUCUUUGCUUAUGGCCUUAUAGAGUUGGUUGAGUGCCAGGUUUGUUCUGUGGUGGUAAAUAGACAGCUACGAAUAAUAUAGAUGAGAACUCUCUUGGAAGAUAGUGUGAUCUACAGCUUAUCGUAAGGUACUCUACCUCAGGUGAGCAAUACCUCGAGACUUCUUUAAUAUUAGACAUCGCGCACCAGCUGUUAUUGACAAAUAGACGCACACAUCCGCCCCUCGUCUUACCAGAGGUAGCGUCUCUGUUCUGCCGGUGUAUGGAAAAUCCCGCUAGCUCUAUAUUGUCCGUAUCGUCAUUCAGCCACAUCUCGGUGAAACAUAAGAGGUUACAGUCUUUAAUGUCCCGUUGGUAGGAUAAUCUUAAUCGUAGGUCAUCGGUUUUAUUUUCCAAUGAUUGCACGUUAGCAAGAAGAACGGAUGGCAGUGGGAGUUUACUCGCUCGCCUACGGAUUCUCAGAAGGCUGCCCGAUCUGCGGCCCCUUUUCCAGCGUCUUUUCUUCACACAAAAGACGUGGAUCUGGGCCUGUUCUAGUGAAAGCAGGAUAUCCUUCUCGUAGGACUCGUUAAAGGAAAAAGUUUCUUCCAGUCCGCAAUGAGUAAUCGCUUUUCUGAUGUCCAGAAGUUAUUUUCGGUCAUAAGAGACAGUAGCAGCAACAUUAUGUACACAGCCUACCAGCCAAAACAACAACUGGUGGAAUAGCGCUACCUGCAGCAUCCAACUCAUAGGUCUCCAACAAAAGGAAUCUGCAUCCACAAGUGCUGUGCAGUCUCAGGGGAUAAUUGCAAUGAUGUCUGCCUUCCAGACAAAGGUACUGAUGAAGCUAGACAUUAUAAUUGAGAACCAGCAAGAGCAACUGAGGCUCCUUAUUGCUACAAGGCCAUCGACCACAGCUGAGGACCUCGACAUUCUGCCAUCACUGUUAAGACUCUGUGGCUGACCUGAAGCUACUGUGUAAGCGGAUCUCAACAGAGGAGAAUUUUCACAAACAAUUGACCACAGCACCUGAAAUAAUGGAGAGCGACGGAAGCAUGAGCCCAAGAGACAGAUGCCCAAGAGACAGAAGCCCAAGAGACAGAAGCCCAAGAGACAGAAGCCCAAGAGAGAGAAGGAGCACAAGCACAGAGUCGACCCUCAUGCUUUUUAACUAAAGAGGACAUUUUGUAACUCCAGUGAUUUUAUUAAAUAUGUCCAGUGGUAAAAAAGGGAAAUACUAGGGAAAUAGUAAUGUAAUUAGUUGCUAAUCCAAUUAUAGUUAUUCAAGAGUUAGUAAUUAACAGUUUUAUAUUGUAUUUUGUAUUUCCUUGUUGGUUAAAGAAAAUCUAAAUAUAUAGUUGGAAUUUCCUGUCUUCGUUAGUUGAAGCCAUCAUCGCAUAUAACACCUAUUACCAAUGUUAACCAACGUUUGUUAAACAUUGGCGAACUUGGAUGGACGUUUGAAACCCAACCAAACCAAUGUUGUAAAAUACACCUAUUACCAAUGUUUGCCAACAUUUGAUAAACGUUGUUGGAUGUUAUGUUUAAAAAGGAACUUAUGGCCAACGUAAAUUACACUAAUACCAACGUUUACCAAACGUUGGCAAAUGUUUACAAAAUGUAAUCUGUCCCCUACACUUUAACCAAAACCGAACGUUUAUCUGAAUGCAUUCAGAAUGUUUAGACAACCAAUCCAACACCUAAAUAACCCGUUUAUAAAACAUAUUUUUGCUACCUGGGUAGAAACAUGUGGGAGGAUUUGACAUCAUAGCGCUGCAUCAUGACUGCAACAUAGGGACCAGAGAAAUUCAUGUUCAUCACUCCCCACAUUAGGUUCAUCAGAUGCUCCAAAAAAAUAUGUUUCUGCAAAAGCCAAUCAGAUAGUUAGCUAGCUACGUUUUUCCUCGUUGGACCUGUAUUUACAAUGUAUCCAAUUUUGGUUUGUGUGGUUCUUGGUUUAGCUUUCUGUAACUUCGGUCAGCAUGUGUAGGCACAUACUGUAUUGCGUCAUGAUUGCAAGGUGUCCAAAUAUCAUUUCCAACUGACCCAUUAUCUGGUUUUAAUUUAUAUUCUAAAAUGCUCUUCUAACCAAUCAGAAAUGACUAUUCGACAAUGCUGUGCUAAAAACUGGACAGGUCAAAGUAAAAUGGACAAUAUCUAGAAGGGUAAUUCUGGCUAGUUAUAACUUCUGUCUGGGAGUUUCACCCUGUGGGCUAAAUUAUCAGAGUAAUCAGUGAUUUAAAGGUUGUAUUAGUACAUUUUUGAUGAGCUGCGUCAUAGUGAAAAAUAAAAUUCUUCUGCAUUUCC
Molecule: long non-coding RNA, 2432 nt
Organism: Salvelinus fontinalis (brook trout)
Lineage: Eukaryota; Metazoa; Chordata; Actinopteri; Salmoniformes; Salmonidae
Exons: 5
Source: RefSeq, a predicted model, not a curated record